UAGGGAAUCUUCCGCAAUGGACGCAAGUCUGACGGAGCAACGCCGCGUGAGUGAAGAAGGAUUUCGGUUCGUAAAACUCUGUUGUUAGAGAAGAACAGCGCAUAGAGUAACUGUUAUGCGUGUGACGGUAUCUAACCAGAAAGCCACGGCUAACUACGUGCCAGCAGCCGCGGUAAUACGUAGGUGGCAAGCGUUGUCCGGAUUUAUUGGGCGUAAAGCGAGCGCAGGCGGUCAAUUAAGUCUGAUGUGAAAGCCCCCGGCUCAACCGGGGAGGGUCAUUGGAAACGGGUUGACUUGAGUGCAGAAGAGGAGAGUGGAAUUCCAUGUGUAGCGGUGAAAUGCGUAGAUAUAUGGAGGAACACCAGGGGCGAAGGCGACUCUCUGGUCUGUAACUGACGCUGAGGUUCGAAAGCGUGGGUAGCAAACAGG
This 429-nucleotide ribosomal RNA is filed under the name Bacteroidota bacterium. RNAcentral's name for it is "Bacteroidetes bacterium partial 16S ribosomal RNA". It matches the Rfam family "Bacterial small subunit ribosomal RNA", at positions 355 to 776 of the family's 1533-position model. The record is from RNAcentral. Lineage: Bacteria; Pseudomonadati; Bacteroidota.